UACGAAAGGGGCUAGUGUUAUUCGGUCAAAUUGGGCGUAAAGGAUUCUAAAGCAGUUUUUUGAACGUUAAAAUUUAAAUGUCAAACUUAAAUUUUGGAAUAAAUUUUAAAACUAAAUUUCUGGAGUAGUUUAAGGGUUAAUAGUAUUUCUUCAAUAAGGUUCAUAUCUGUUAAUAGAAGAGAGAGGACCUAGGGCAAAGGCAAUUAACUAUUUUCUUACUAACGCUGAUGGAUUAAAGUAUAGGGAGCAAACAGG
This 255-nucleotide ribosomal RNA is filed under the name uncultured bacterium. RNAcentral's name for it is "partial 16S ribosomal RNA". It matches the Rfam family "Bacterial small subunit ribosomal RNA", at positions 524 to 776 of the family's 1533-position model. The record is from RNAcentral.